UGAUCUAUCAACUUUGUUUGUAGUGCCUUUGACUAAAAAGGUUCUAACGGAUAACGAGAGAUUAGGGUUUGAUUUCGGAGAGGAGGCCUGAGACACUGCCUCCACUUCCAAGGAAGGCAGCAGGAGCGAAAAUUUCUCAAUGACACCUCGUCGAAGAAGUGACAAGAAUUAACAGAACUGGGUCCUUUUUGGAACAGUAUCUGUGAUGAGAACAAUUUAAAACCAUUAACUAGUAGCCAUGAGAGGGCAAGUCUGGUGCCAGCAGCCGCGGUAAUUCCAGCUCUUAGAGUGUAUAUGAAUGUUGUUGUAGUUAAAAAGCACAUAGCUGAUAAUGAUUUAUCAGCCACUUAUCGGUCACUUGUGAUUGGUAUUGUUGGUGUGAUAGACGAAAAGUCCAUUGAGUAGCAGGCGGUUGGUGGAAACACUGAUGCGCGCCCUUCAUUCCUACACAGUUUGGAGGACCUCUUUGGAAGAGAUUGACUUUGAAUAAAUUAGAGUGUUUAAAACAGGCUUUCUAGCCUUUGAAUAUAUUAGCAUAGUAUCACAGAAUAUGAUCGACUCACCCAGAAGCCUCGUAGAUUUUCUUCGAGGUGGGUCGUAUAAUGAGAGAUAGGAGCUGAUGGAGCGAUCUUUAUUUGUUGGGGAGGGGUGAAAUCCUAUGAUCCAACGAAGAAACACUAAUGCGAAAGCACCUCGCUAAGAUGUUUUUAUUAGUCAAGUACGAAAGUUAAGGGCGCGAAGAUGAUUAGAUACCAUCGUAGUCUUAACUGUAAACAAUGUUGAUUUAGGAUGUGAAAUCAUUUAUUAUGACUUUUCACGGAUUAUACGAGAAAUCUAGAAUAUUCGAACUCUAGGGGAAGUAUUAUCGCAAGAUAGAAACUUAAACGAAUUGACGGAAGAGCACCACCAGGCGUGGAACCUGCGGCUUAAUUUGACUCAACGCGGGAAACCUUACCAGGACAAGACAUUAAAAGGAUUGACAGAUUGAUAGAUCUUUCAUGAUAUAAUGAAAGGUGGUGCAUGGCCGUUUUUAGUUGGUGGUUUGAAUUGUCUGGUUAAUUCCGAUAACGUAACAAGACCUUUUCCUGCUAUUUA
RNAcentral lists this ribosomal RNA (1095 nucleotides) under uncultured soil eukaryote. RNAcentral's name for it is "SSU rRNA". It matches the Rfam family "Eukaryotic small subunit ribosomal RNA", at positions 308 to 1357 of the family's 1831-position model. The record is from RNAcentral.